This 73-nucleotide transfer RNA is filed under the name Candidatus Pacearchaeota archaeon ex4484_31. RNAcentral describes it as "tRNA-Val". It matches the Rfam family "tRNA". From Rfam's summary of the family: Transfer RNA (tRNA) molecules are approximately 80 nucleotides in length. Their secondary structure includes four short double-helical elements and three loops (D, anti-codon, and T loops). The record is from RNAcentral. RNAcentral also lists the same sequence under 2 other names. Lineage: Archaea; Nanobdellati.
GGGCCCAUGGUCUAGUGGCUAAGACGCUGCCUUCACGCGGCAGAGAUCCUCGGUUCGAUUCCGAGUGGGCCCA